Varanus komodoensis (Komodo dragon) is the source of this 2677-nucleotide long non-coding RNA. Lineage: Eukaryota; Metazoa; Chordata; Lepidosauria; Squamata; Varanidae. The record is from Ensembl.
CCAUCCCUCCAGUGAUCAUGAAUGCACUAGAGAGGAAGGCAUUUCUGAAGCGAUAUCCCUGGCUGAAUGCUCCUCUGCAGGUCGGACUGGUCGGACUGUGGUAAGCGUGCUCUUUCCCUUUGUGCAAAUAGGACCACCUUACAUCGGGGAGAGAAAAGGCUGCCAGUGUUUCCCUUAGCAGCUCAUGAAGUUGGCUUAUAAGACUAUCUUUGCACUGGGAUGAGGUGGUUGGAGUGUCAGAGGAGGACUGGGAAGAUCUGGCUAUGGAUCCGGCCUCAGCUUGGAAGCUCAUCAGGGGACCUUGGGCCAAGCAAGGCGUUUGAGUGGAGCCAGCUUGCAGAAGCAACAGAGGCCAUUCUUUGAAGUAGUAAGAUUGUGGCAGUUGGGCAUAUGUGUGUAAUUAAAGGGCCUGAUUCUUAGAAAAGAAUUAAAAUAAACAUCAAGACUGUUGUCUCCCUGAGGUAGCUCACAGGCAGUGCAAUAAGUGCAGCUGUUAACCUCAGUCAUGCACUGAGAGGACUCCAUAUUCCAAUAUGCUGUUUCUGUGAUGGCAGUUGACUUGACUUUUCAGGAAGUGGAGUGGUGGAACCUGAAAAGGUAGGGAUGCUGAAGACAAGUUCCUCUGCUCAUUCAGUGUACCAGACAGCUGUCCUGUAUGCACCAAAAACACAGGGGCAAAGCAUGUUGGCUCCCCCAUCCCACCCCUCAUGGUUGGUGGAGACGUUGGUUAUUUCCUCUGGGAAACUCAUGAGCCAUCCAAGGAAGAAGUGAGAUCUAGAAAACAUCUCGCCUGUCUCUUGUCUCUCCUUCUGCAGUUUGGUGUUUGCUACGCCCCUUUGCUGUGCACUCUUCCCACAGAAGAGCUCGAUGCGGGUGAGCCGCCUGGAACCGGAAAUCCAAACUCUGAUCAGGGAGAAGAACUCUGGUGUUGAGGUGGUCUAUUUUAAUAAGGGUCUUUGAGAGGUGCUUCUUCCUACUUCCCUGGUAUGCAGCAGAAAGGAUGGGAGGACGAGGAACCAGGGACCGGUGCUCCUGAGGAAGAAGUUACAUGUUGUUAUAGUAUAAUCUUUUAAAAUGCUGCUCUGUUGUUGGCUGUCAUAUCUUGGCAGGUCCUCUAUAAUCUUCCUGGAAUCAGGUGAACCCUAGGGGUAGAUUGUAGUGUGGCAGCGGUUGUCCCUGCGAACAAAGCAGACACAUUCCAGUCUUGACCCAGUUAGGUGUCGGGAUCAGUGGAGUCAGUCCUUAAAUAAACCCAAAUCCCUAUAUCAGGCAUAAUUCCACAGUGUUCUGUAAAGGUGUGUGUCUCACUACGUAUACAGUCUCUUUGAAAUAAUGUUGUUAAAAAUGACAGAUCAUUCUGGGGAGAGCAGAAUCUGUACAGCAGCUUGAAUCCCUCAAGAAUUGGCCUAGGGAGGAAAUCAGCUUGCACUGCAUCCAGUUCGAACAGGAUGUAUUUAGUGCUAAAGAAAAACAUUGUGUUUCCUUGAAGAAGCUGUGUGCUUUUGUGAUACUCACACCAGUGACACAGGAAUGUGUUUGUGUCAAACAUUCUUUAGCUUUACAAGCAAACAGGUUUGCAUAAGAAACCUUGUAUUUGCUUGCUACUUCCAUCGUUUGCAUCAGGGAAAAUGUGUGUGUGCAAGAAUGACAAUACAUGCCACCUUAAAACUACAGAAAUCAUGAUACAGUUUGAAAUUUAGUCAGAUAUGCAUGUAAGAAAAUAAGCAUCUAGAGCCUUAAUUGGUUAUGAAGCAAUUGAUUAUGCAAAUAUAUGUGUAAACAGAACCAGCUAAAUGCAAAUGGAUUAUCUUUCAGAAAUCGACAGUUCAGGACACACAUCUAAAAGUUCAAGCAAAGGUGUGGUUUUUGUGGGUAUUACAAAGGUACAUAGAAAUCAACAGGUAUAAGCAUAUCUUUGAUUUGAAAACCAUAAAAACCCAACUGCAAAACCAAGUUCUAGAGGCCUCAAUCCCCUUAUUUUCUGUUUUCCUAAAUUGUGCAUAACCAUAGCAUCUUUUCAUAAUUUUACUGGGAUGGCAGUGCUUUGUUCAAAAAUAAGGUCAAAGGGCAAUAGAUGGAAGUGGCCUUCAGACUGAGGAUCACUUCUCUCUGCUCAUCAUGCUAUUGUGGCUUCUACAUCAUUUGAUGAGGCAAGUGUCGUGGCAACAGUACCUCUAGGUGUGGUAUGCAUGCUGUUCUCCUCUCCCAAAAUGAAAGAAAAUUCCCUUCUCUGACCCUGCUUCACUAAUAUCCAUGUUUCUGAACAUUGUUUUUGUCCAAAAUAUAAGCUUGGGCAAAUCCAUCUUCUGUGUUAUGUGGAAAAUAUAUUGACUCUCCUUUAAAGCACAAAUGACAAUCUUUGGUAAGAAGUCAUAAAAGUAUCGAUCUGGGAUGCAGUCUGACUUGUGCUUUGCUGGAAAGACUGAGACAGCUGUGUGGGUGCUGGACGGGGAGAGGCACAGCCUCACGAGAGCGCAUGCAUCCCUUCUUUGACUCUUUAUGGCUAAGUCAGGAAUUGGUAUCCAAGAAAGGAGGCAACAUGUAGGCAGAAAAGUUUUUGCAGAAUUUCCCUGUAUUGAUCAUGGCGCUUGCGAUGUAAUCCUACAGUUCCUUCUGUCUGCCAUGUAGACUUAAUGAAAGGAUCAGCAGAAUUGCAUGCAGUGAUCAGAUGCACUGA